RNAcentral lists this ribosomal RNA (759 nucleotides) under Haemophilus influenzae. Its description in RNAcentral is "bacterial SSU rRNA". It matches the Rfam family "Bacterial small subunit ribosomal RNA", at positions 28 to 776 of the family's 1533-position model. Lineage: Bacteria; Pseudomonadati; Pseudomonadota; Gammaproteobacteria; Pasteurellales; Pasteurellaceae. The record is from RNAcentral.
AUUGAACGCUGGCGGCAGGCUUAACACAUGCAAGUCGAACGGUAGCAGGAGAAAGCUUGCUUUCUUGCUGGCGAGUGGCGGACGGGUGAGUAAUGCUUGGGAAUCUGGCUUAUGGAGGGGGAUAACGACGGGAAACUGUCGCUAAUACCGCGUAUUAUCGGAAGAUGAAAGUGCGGGACUGAGAGGCCGCAUGCCAUAGGAUGAGCCCAAGUGGGAUUAGGUAGUUGGUGGGGUAAAUGCCUACCAAGCCUGCGAUCUCUAGCUGGUCUGAGAGGAUGACCAGCCACACUGGAACUGAGACACGGUCCAGACUCCUACGGGAGGCAGCAGUGGGGAAUAUUGCGCAAUGGGGGGAACCCUGACGCAGCCAUGCCGCGUGAAUGAAGAAGGCCUUCGGGUUGUAAAGUUCUUUCGGUAUUGAGGAAGGUUGAUGUGUUAAUAGCACAUCAAAUUGACGUUAAAUACAGAAGAAGCACCGGCUAACUCCGUGCCAGCAGCCGCGGUAAUACGGAGGGUGCGAGCGUUAAUCGGAAUAACUGGGCGUAAAGGGCACGCAGGCGGUUAUUUAAGUGAGGUGUGAAAGCCCUGGGCUUAACCUAGGAAUUGCAUUUCAGACUGGGUAACUAGAGUACUUUAGGGAGGGGUAGAAUUCCACGUGUAGCGGUGAAAUGCGUAGAGAUGUGGAGGAAUACCGAAGGCGAAGGCAGCCCCUUGGGAAUGUACUGACGCUCAUGUGCGAAAGCGUGGGGAGCAAACAGG